RNAcentral lists this ribosomal RNA (383 nucleotides) under uncultured bacterium. RNAcentral's name for it is "bacterial SSU rRNA". It matches the Rfam family "Bacterial small subunit ribosomal RNA", at positions 30 to 414 of the family's 1533-position model. The record is from RNAcentral.
AUUGAACGCUGGCGGCAUGCCUUACACAUGCAAGUCGAACGGCAGCACGGGAGCAAUCCUGGUGGCGAGUGGCGAACGGGUGAGUAAUAUAUCGGAACGUGCCCAGUCGUGGGGAUAACGUAGCGAAAGCUACGCUAAUACCGCAUACGAUCUAUGGAUGAAAGCGGGGGAUCGCAAGACCUCGCGCGAUUGGAGCGGCCGAUAUCAGAUUAGGUAGUUGGUGAGGUAAAGGCUCACCAAGCCGACGAUCUGUAGCUGGUCUGAGAGGACGACCAGCCACACUGGGACUGAGACACGGCCCAGACUCCUACGGAGGCAGCAGUGGGGAAUUUUUGGGACAAUGGGCGCAAGCCUGAUCCAGCAAUGCGCGUGCAGGAUGAAGG